GCACGGAGUAGCAGGACAACG
RNAcentral lists this unclassified non-coding RNA (21 nucleotides) under Mus musculus (house mouse). Its description in RNAcentral is "oocyte_clustered_small_RNA3700". The record is from RNAcentral. Lineage: Eukaryota; Metazoa; Chordata; Mammalia; Rodentia; Muridae.